Long non-coding RNA from Rattus rattus (black rat), 1526 nucleotides. RefSeq lists it as uncharacterized. The transcript has 3 exons. Lineage: Eukaryota; Metazoa; Chordata; Mammalia; Rodentia; Muridae. The record is from RefSeq and is a predicted model, not a curated record.
ACCUGGAUCUUCACGAAGACGCACAGAGUGCUGCUCAACUGGAGAUUUUUCUCCGUCAGCAAAGCAAGGCAAGUGGGGACAGAGGGGCAAUGAGUGUCACAGCCCAAGGUGAAGACCCUGCGUCUGCCCAUAGACGACUCCUCCACCCCGCGGAGCCCCGAAGACAGCCUGCCCGGGGACGCAGCCCUCACCUGCGGUGUCCCAUAUAGAGAUGUUGAAGGAGCGCCACUGCUUCAGCACGAUCUUCCCAUCCGGCUUCCGCAUAGCCGCGGAGGAGGUGGCCCCUGCGCUUCUCGGUCACCCGUCCAGGAUGCCAGGGAACGCGGACCCCGGCCUCUAGGAAUCCAGAACUGUAGUGGCACUGGCCUGAGGUCCGAACUCGCUGAAGUUCCGGAGAGGAAGCGCUCCACCGCUCUGUACUAGAGAGUGAACUCAGCCCUGCGACCACGUGAGGUGCCCAGCCACCACGCCCACCCCACGCCCCCUGGGCCGCCCAGGUCCCGCCCCAGUCUUCUCCCAAGUCUCUUCCACACUCCCCAUCACCUCUGCCACGUCCCUAUUCCUAUCUCUCCUCUCCCAAAUUCCCCCUUUCCGCCUGCUAACUCUCAGCCCCACGCCCACUCCUCCCCAUUCUUCCACAUUCCUCCUCCCUCAAGAACCCUCCUGCGUCCCUGUAAUCCCAAACUCCGUUCCUCCUUUAUUUUUGUGCCUUUCUCAGAGUUCUGGCCCCUACCUCCCGCCCUCAACUCCUUCCCAUCCCUUCUCCCUCAAGCCCUUCUCCAGCCCAGCCAGCCCUUUUCUGGAACCCCUCUCCACUGGCCCAACCCACGCCAGCCCCCCUCUUCCUGCACCCCCAACUCUAGCAGGAUCACAGUACCGCUUUCACCCUUAGAAAGCCUGUGUGUUUCCAUGCUUGGACGCUCGAGUUCCUCCAACAGCCUGGGUUGGCGCAGAGCGGCCCAGGACCUGGUGUUUGCCUGGUCACAGUCACCCUGGACUCUGUUUCACUUCUCUUCCCCUGCCCAGCGCUCCUCGGUGCACCUUGGUUCCUCGCACACAGAUGGAGAGUUUGCCUGGCUAGGAAUGUCCCUUAGAAAUCGGCUAAGAUUUAAGGGAGGACGUGGAGGAGGUGGGACACUGGGAGAUACCUGCUAGAGAACCCUUGAAAUGCGUUCAAAAUCUUCCUCCAGCGGCUGAAGCACACGGAGGGAGGCGGAGGAGUUACCUGGCGCUGGGUAAAGCCCAGCCGGUCCUGCUUCCUUAAAGGGGAGAUGACUCUCCUAGGAGCUUCUCCCUCCACAGGUGCGAGAUUCCACUGAGGCUAAGCAAAGCCUCAAGCACCCUGCCUGAGAGCUGAGGACCAAUGCUCUUGGGAAUGCGGUGGAAGAGUACGUUCUGGGGCGUGGAAGGCUCACCAGACCGUGAAAACAGCUCCCUGUGAGUCUCAGGCUUCUGCUAGCCGCCCCACCUCUCCGCACGCCCUCCCAGGGAAAUUUAAGUUACUUCCAAUUUAUUAUGGGCUAGUU